RNAcentral lists this ribosomal RNA (440 nucleotides) under uncultured bacterium. Its description in RNAcentral is "partial 16S ribosomal RNA". It matches the Rfam family "Bacterial small subunit ribosomal RNA", at positions 338 to 795 of the family's 1533-position model. The record is from RNAcentral.
UCUACGGGAGGCAGCAGUGGGGGAUAUUGCACAAUGGGGGGAACCCUGAUGCAGCGACGCCGCGUGGGUGAAGAAGCGCCUCGGCGCGUAAAGCCCUGUCAGCAGGGAAGAAAAUGACGGUACCUGAAGAAGAAGCCCCGGCUAACUACGUGCCAGCAGCCGCGGUAAUACGUAGGUGGCAAGCGUUGUCCGGAAUUACUGGGUGUAAAGGGAGAGCAGGCGGGAAGCCAAGUCAGCUGUGAAAACUACGGGCUUAACUUGUAGACUGCAGUUGAGACUGGUUUUCUUGAGUGAAGUAGAGGGUGGCGGAAUUCCGGGUGUAGCGGUGAAAUGCGUAGAUAUUCGGAGGAACACCGGUGGCGAAGGCGGCCAACUGGGCUUUAACUGACGCUGAGGCUCGAAAGUGUGGGGAGCAAACAGGAUUAGAUACCCCUGUAGUC